RNAcentral lists this ribosomal RNA (678 nucleotides) under Monosporascus mossoroensis. RNAcentral's name for it is "partial large subunit ribosomal RNA". It matches the Rfam family "Eukaryotic large subunit ribosomal RNA", at positions 114 to 817 of the family's 3401-position model. The record is from RNAcentral. Lineage: Eukaryota; Fungi; Ascomycota; Sordariomycetes; Xylariales.
UUUGAAAUCUGGCCUUCGGGUCCGAGUUGUAAUUUGUAGAGGAUGCUUUUGGUGCGGUACCUUCCGAGUUCCUUGGAACAGGACGCCUUAGAGGGUGAGAGCCCCGUACGGUUGGAUAUCAAACCUCUGUAAAGCUCCUUCGACGAGUCGAGUAGUUUGGGAAUGCUGCUCUAAAUGGGAGGUAAAUUUCUUCUAAAGCUAAAUACCGGCCAGAGACCGAUAGCGCACAAGUAGAGUGAUCGAAAGAUGAAAAGUACUUUGAAAAGAGGGUUAAAUAGCACGUGAAAUUGUUGAAAGGGAAGCGUUUAUGACCAGACCUUUGCCUGGCGGAUCAUCCGGUGUUCUUCACCGGUGCACUUCGCCCGGCUUAGGCCAGCAUCGAUUUUCGUUAGGGGACAAAGACCGCGGGAACGUGGCUCCCUCCGGGGAGUGUUAUAGCCCGCGGUGUAAUACCCUUACGGGGAUCGAGGUUCGCGCUCUGCAAGGAUGCUGGCAUAAUGGUCAUCAACGACCCGUCUUGAAACACGGACCAAGGAGUCGAACAUUUAUGCGAGUGUUUGGGUGUUAAACCCUCACGCGUAAUGAAAGUGAACGGAGGUGAGAGCCCUUUCGGGUGCAUCAUCGACCGAUCCUGAUGUCUUCGGAUGGAUUUGAGUAAGAGCAUAACUGUUCGGACCC